UCUCCCCCUCUCUCCUCCAUCUGGCUCUCUCCCUCCCUCUCUCCUCCACCUGGCUCUCUCCCUCCCUCCCUCCUCCACCUGGCUCUCUCCCUCCCUCCCUCCUCCACCUGGCUCUCUCUCCGUCCCUUAUCCACCUGGCUCUCCCUCUCUUCUCCACCUGGCUCUCCCUCCCUCCUUCCACCUCGCUCUCUCCCUCCUCCACCUGGCUCUCUCCCUCCCUCCCUCCUCCACCUGGCUCUCCCUCCCUCCCUCUCACCCUUCUCCUCGCUCUCUUCCACCUCCCUCUUUCUCCCCGUCCACCUCGCUCUCUCCCACGCCUCCACAUCGUCGAUCAGACUCCAUCCCUCUCUCCUCCACCUCUUCACUUGCUCCGCCUUUCUCUCCAGUGCAAUAUAGUCCGCAAAUUCCACUUUUUAAAUCAUUCUCUCGCCUAUCAGCAAGUCACAUCCCAUUCCUCUUUCCUCCAUGUCUCCUCCUCCCUCCCACUUGCUCCACAUUUCUUUCCCGUGCAAUAUAGUCCACCACAUUUCUUUCCCGUGCAAUAUAGCCCACCAAAGUCCAAUUUUUAAUCAUUCUCUUAGUCUUCCAGCACGCGAGACUCCACUCUCCACCACUCCACUCUUCCACCUCUCCACCUGAUCCUCCAAUAAGACGAUUCCCUGUAAGACUCUGUGGAUAAUAAGGUUGUUAUUCUGAGCUGCUCUCGUCAAAGUCAAAAGACCCCUCUGUAUGGUCUUGGCUACUGGUCUGGUAGGAUGUGGCUCUGGCUGGUGCAGCUGGCCUGGCUCGGCUCUGUGACUGAUGCGGCUGAUCUAGUGUGGCAGGUACAGCUCUGACUGGUCUGGUGUAGCUGCUUCAAGUCCACUCCACAAACAGUCACCCCAAGGGCAGGACUGACAGGACUGAGAGCUGGCUGUUGUGCUGAUCCUUGGUUGAGUGUUGGCUACCCACCAUCACUACCCUACACUUCCUCUAGGCCCUUCCAGUGUGCUGAACUACAAACACACAGGGUUGGUGGCUGUGUAUCCUCCUGCCUGUGACUUCAGCACCUUCAAGAGCAUUGAAGAACUAAUCUUGAAACUCUUGGACUCUGCAGUGGCAUCAGGCUUUACUGUAAAGUGAAUAAUAAAUUAUUGAUUGUACCUUA
Long non-coding RNA from Eriocheir sinensis (Chinese mitten crab), 1147 nucleotides. RefSeq lists it as uncharacterized. Lineage: Eukaryota; Metazoa; Arthropoda; Malacostraca; Decapoda; Varunidae. The record is from RefSeq and is a predicted model, not a curated record. The transcript has 3 exons.